AGGGCACCACCAGGAGUGGAGCCUGCGGCUUAAUUUGACUCAACACGGGAAAACUCACCCGGCCCGGACACUGGAAGGAUUGACAGAUUGAGAGCUCUUUCUUGAUUCAGUGGGUAGUGGUGCAUGGCCGUUCUUAGUUGGUGGAGUGAUUUGUCUGGUUAAUUCCGAUAACGUACGAGACUCUAGCCUAUUAAAUAGAUCGUUGGCCUACAAACGCCGGCGAGACUUCUUAGAGGGACAGGCGGCGAUUCAGCCGCACGAAACAGAGCAAUAACAGGUCUGUGAUGCCCUUAGAUGUCCGGGGCCGCACGCGCGCUACACUGAAGUGAUCAGCGUGCAUUUUGAAACCUACUCUGUCAAGAGUGGGGAACCCAAUGAACCUUCUUCGUGAUUGGGAUAGGGGAUUGUAAUUAUUCCCCUUGAACGAGGAAUUCCCAGUAAGCGCGAAUCAUAAGUUUGCGCUGAUUACGUCCCUGCCCUUUGUACACACCGCCCGUCGCUACUACCGAUUGAAUGUUU
RNAcentral lists this ribosomal RNA (519 nucleotides) under uncultured eukaryote. Its description in RNAcentral is "SSU rRNA". It matches the Rfam family "Eukaryotic small subunit ribosomal RNA", at positions 1161 to 1698 of the family's 1831-position model. The record is from RNAcentral.